CGUGCAGGCGGUUUGGUAAGUCAGAUGUGAAAGCCCAGGGCUCAACCCUGGAAGUGCAUUUGAUACUGCCAGACUUGAGUAUGGGAGAGGAGAGUGGAAUUCCCAGUGUAGAGGUGAAAUUCGUAGAUAUUGGGAGGAACACCCGUGGCGAAGGCGACUCUCUGGACCAAUACUGACGCUGAGACGCGAAAGCGUGGGGAGCAAACAGGAUUAGAUACCCUGGUAGUCC
Molecule: ribosomal RNA, 229 nt
Filed under: uncultured bacterium
Lineage: Bacteria
Description: partial 16S ribosomal RNA
Rfam family: Bacterial small subunit ribosomal RNA
Source: RNAcentral